ACCCUGACACCUGGAAGAUGCUCCUAGGGAUGACCCCACUCCCCACCCACAACUGUUAAUCAGGAAAUAACGGAUAUGAAAGUAGCUCUGCGAACUGAGGAGCCGUGGAGAAUGUACAAAACAGAUUCCUAAAGUAGUGCAUUCGUGUAACAAGAUUAAGAAAACGAAGGACCAACUUCAAGCUCUUGCAAGCUGGUAACCUUUACACUCGUGCAUAAAGCCUUGCUGGAGUUGACACUGAAAACUAAACAGUCGAACUUGAGUAAAACAUAUCCAAACUCCCAGCUGCUGGGCUCUACAGCUUAUUUUUAGCUUGAAAGUUACAUGUUGGAGCUGCAGAGGCUUUAUGGUGGUGGUGGGGGAGCUGUUUGUUCGUAGUCACUUGAGUCUAUAUGAACGUGGCAGGAAAUCUGAAGGAUGUGAAAGGAAAAUGGGAAACACCAGGGUGUUCCAGGAUUUU
Molecule: long non-coding RNA, 460 nt
Filed under: Homo sapiens (human)
Lineage: Eukaryota; Metazoa; Chordata; Mammalia; Primates; Hominidae
Description: HSALNT0069036
Source: RNAcentral